Molecule: ribosomal RNA, 825 nt
Filed under: Microbacterium sp. TCA2-8_Pa
Lineage: Bacteria; Bacillati; Actinomycetota; Actinomycetes; Micrococcales; Microbacteriaceae
Description: bacterial SSU rRNA
Rfam family: Bacterial small subunit ribosomal RNA
Source: RNAcentral
GCAGUCGAACGGUGAACACGGAGCUUGCUCUGUGGGAUCAGUGGCGAACGGGUGAGUAACACGUGAGCAACCUGCCCCUGACUCUGGGAUAAGCGCUGGAAACGGCGUCUAAUACUGGAUACGAACCAUGAAGGCAUCUUCAGUGGUUGGAAAGAUUUAUUGGUUGGGGAUGGGCUCGCGGCCUAUCAGCUUGUUGGUGAGGUAAUGGCUCACCAAGGCGUCGACGGGUAGCCGGCCUGAGAGGGUGACCGGCCACACUGGGACUGAGACACGGCCCAGACUCCUACGGGAGGCAGCAGUGGGGAAUAUUGCACAAUGGGCGCAAGCCUGAUGCAGCAACGCCGCGUGAGGGAUGACGGCCUUCGGGUUGUAAACCUCUUUUAGCAGGGAAGAAGCGAAAGUGACGGUACCUGCAGAAAAAGCGCCGGCUAACUACGUGCCAGCAGCCGCGGUAAUACGUAGGGCGCAAGCGUUAUCCGGAAUUAUUGGGCGUAAAGAGCUCGUAGGCGGUUUGUCGCGUCUGCUGUGAAAUCCGGAGGCUCAACCUCCGGCCUGCAGUGGGUACGGGCAGACUAGAGUGCGGUAGGGGAGAUUGGAAUUCCUGGUGUAGCGGUGGAAUGCGCAGAUAUCAGGAGGAACACCGAUGGCGAAGGCAGAUCUCUGGGCCGUAACUGACGCUGAGGAGCGAAAGGGUGGGGAGCAAACAGGCUUAGAUACCCUGGUAGUCCACCCCGUAAACGUUGGGAACUAGUUGUGGGGUCCAUUCCACGGAUUCCGUGACGCAGCUAACGCAUUAAGUUCCCCGCCUGGGGAGUACGGCCGCAA